This 34-nucleotide non-coding RNA is filed under the name Mus musculus (house mouse). Lineage: Eukaryota; Metazoa; Chordata; Mammalia; Rodentia; Muridae. The record is from RNAcentral.
GACCUAUGUGUGGCCCUAGCUGGCCUCCUACCUG